UUCUGCUUUCCUUAGUUUGUU
RNAcentral lists this non-coding RNA (21 nucleotides) under Caenorhabditis elegans. The record is from RNAcentral. Lineage: Eukaryota; Metazoa; Nematoda; Chromadorea; Rhabditida; Rhabditidae.